UAUUUGAAUCUUCCAAGGACACUAUUUCUUUCUGUAAUUCAUUGGUCGAGCAUGUAGCCUUCUCGCUUUGCAAUAUAUAGGUUUUGCACAUCCUUUACGCAUUGUGAUUAUAAUUAACAAUCCAUCAUUAAGUCGUUGAUGGUUUUAUUGGUUUACAUUUUGUAAGGAAUUGCUGUAAGGGGAAGACUUUGAUGGAACACGAAUAAAAUUGUAUUAUUUGUUCUUUAGCUCUUGGCUCAAUGUUUCUUAUUCAAACUUUACUUGGUUUAAAAAGACCCAAUCUGGGGCAUCGUUGAUCAGAGUUUCAAAAAUAGGAGGUGGAAAAUGGAGCUUGGACACUUGGACCACCUAAGAGAUUAGAUUCGGCAAGUGAAGGUGCACGCUUUCAUGUCCCACAAUAAAUUUUUAUGAGCAAAAAUCUGAUUGUUCAUAAACAUGUCGUUAAUAAAAAAGUUUCUUGUAGUUAUAACCUAAAACUAAUAAUCACCAAGCCAAAAUGGAGGGUCGAAAGUUAAUAGCGUGUCUUUUACACUAAAACGCUUGAGCGCUCGUGCAAUACUUGCAUAUGCAUUUAGCUAUUUAACUUCAAAUAAGUUUUCUGAUGAAAUUACAUACAACGGAAAAUGGUCAAAUAUAAAAAUAUAUUUAUUUUUUUUAAAUGAAGGACACAUUCGUUUUUUCAACCAAUUCAAACAAGUAUUUUAUAUCCAAAAUUGAACAGUCGGCUCAUUUUAAAGAUAAUAUGGAUUUUAAAUUAAUUCACCUUUCAAAAGUAUAUGUAAAUACAAUAUACACAUUAUACAUUCUGGAAAGCAAAUAUUUACGCACCCUGUUUAUAACAACAGUUUAGGGUGGGUGUGCCCCCAUACUGGCGAAUCUCCGAGUUGUACCUGGAAAUGUGAAUAUUUCACAUUUUUGCAGACGCGGUAAUAAUAAUAAAAAAAUAAUAAUAAUAACAAAAAUACUACAAUAAACGCGUGGAAUUAUAACAAUCGUCAGUGAGGGUAUUAAAUUAACAUCUAUCUAAAAUGUAUGUUUUAUUUUUAAAAUACGUUUUAAAAGCGAAAUGUAGAUGUGCAGAUAAUCUACAUUGAGUGUUACAUUUGACUGUAAUACCAGCAUUUACUUGCGUAUGUGUGCAUUAGUCUCAAGUCGAAAGAAUAUUUCGAGCAUUUCACCAAGGCUACUUUUUCUUAUUGUAGUUAAUAAAUGCAAUAAGAGAUUAUAACGUCAAUUGAGGUCUCUGGCCUCACCGAUAGUUUUUUCCCCUGAAGAGUAGAUGUUUUCACUGUAACACCAGGGUAGUAUAAAAAGGAAUAUUUCCUUUCAUCAGGAGCACAUUUGGAGAGUCAUUGUAGUCGCUGUAAAGAUGAAAGAUUUCUAUCGUAAACAUUACUGAAAAACGUAGGUACUGGGUGUGUUUGUAUGCAUUUGCCUUGACCAACAUUGUGCACAUAUUGCUCCAGAAAGCAUUCUAGAAAGCAAGCUAUGGCUUUGCUAAAGGUUUCUUAAAUUGUAUUAAUUAUAACCACCCCUUUCUGUUAGUUCAUGCAGGUUUAAAACAUUGUGUAUAUUAUUAUGUACGUGUUUACUGUCAUUAGUUUUUAAUUCAAUUUAAAAAUCAAGUGCAAAUAUUUAAGCAGGUAUUUUUUCAAUGUUUAUACUCAAAUAAAUUAUUAUUAAAAGUUGGUCUUUUAAUGUAAAUAAAAGAAAAAAAAAAUAUGAAGAAAAUGUCUGUUGCUAUUCUUGUAUGAUUCAAAUCAAUUAUAAAAAUGGAAUUAAAUAUUACAAUUACAAUCAAUUUCACGGUGCUAAUCUCAGUUGGCUAUUUUUCAAAUUGGUGUAUGUCGAAUAUUUACUUUGAUUGUUUGAUUGCUUGUGAAAAACACAUCAGUAACAUUUUGACCCUGUCAGAGUUUCAGUUUAAGGCCCUGAAGCGGGAAAUAUAGUUAUACCUGGGCACAAUGUUUACUGUUUUCUUUUAGUUUUUUUCCCUGUAAAACGAGUCUGCAAUGUAAAUGAUAUUGUCUAAAGUAUAUAUAAAACGUCAUAUAUAUUAACUGGUUUAUAAAUUAACUGGUCUGUUUUUUUAAAUAAGAAAUUCUUGAGAUAAAACUUUGGACAAACCAUAUAAUAUUUUUUGUCUCAUUUUAAAUGAUCAUGUUAACAGUUUAAAAAUAUAAAUGGAAAUGUGAAAAGAGAAGAGAUGAAUAUAUUCCCCUCACAUAUAGGUUUAGCUAACUAUAGGCUGUCAGUAAAAUCAAUAACUUUUCUCCAAACAUUUACCUGAUAUCAUCUUGUCUAUAAGUGAAAUCAUUCACAUGGUCUAAACAGUGAAAUAAUCAACAUGAUACACAUGCUGAUUUAACAUGCAUCGUAUAAAAAUAGACGAUUGUUCUAUUUCAUGGUAGCAUUACACAGUAACUGGUUGUAGCAUUCUGCCUAGCUUCUAUAAUCUAAUCAGAAGAACACAUUAAAAAUCCCCUACCCCAAAAACCUACUUCCAUGCUCUACCAUUACAAGUGUGUAAUAUUAGCUUCAUUAUAUGGAAGGGCAUCAUGUCAAGUAAGUAGAAAAAAGACUGUGCAUAUUACUAGAAUAUUAUUUGGCACAUACUAUAUGCUAAUAAUCUGAGAGUUCAUCAGACACGCAUCUCCCUAUGUAUGAUGCUGAACAUGGUCAAAAUAACAUUAGCAUUGAUCACAGAAAAAAAAUAUCAACGUGUGGAAUAGGCAUAUUGGUUUGAUUUUAUUUGCAGUGAGACAAAAUAGACUCCUGUGCAACAUUCCUGAGAAAGUAUGCAGAUUUUUAUGAUCAACUUAGAAAGAUAUUUUUCAACAAAAAAGAAAGGAAAAUUACAACCCUAACUAAAAUACAAAUGCUCUAUUAAUAAACUAUAUAUUACAGACAUUCCCAAUGCUGAUUAAAUGAAUAAAUGAAUAAUUGUUAAGUCUUUAUUUUGAAUAUUUUGAUAUUUUGGUUAUGUGUUGGUCUAGUCUGCUAUAUUUAAUGUAACGUAAACUAUUUUCCUUAAUCUUUGAUGGUAAUCCUACGAUGCAAUUCACAUUUACACAAAAACACCAAAUUCACAUUAGUAAACUGGUUUUAAUAUUUAUUUAAGAAAAGCUUUUUUUAGUUUUAAGAUUUAUUUAUUUAUUACCUAAGUUAUCUAUUAGUUAACUGUAUCCUGGAUCUUUGCUGGAGUGGGUAAAUUAUAUCUGAUGUACCAUACUAUAUUUUCAUGUUUCAUUAAGUCAGGCUACUGUAUUAAUUAUUAGCACACUAGUGAAUUUUUAUACAAAAAAAAAAAAAAUAACGUAUGAGGUUUUGCACUGAUUUUUUACAAGCACUUAUAAGUUUGGCUGUAGGAUAUUGGAAGGAAAUUGCCACUAUAUCCAUGUAUUCUAGGCAGUAAUGUCCUGUGGGGGUAAUUUUGUAUGCUGUAAACUCUUUGUUGGUGACGCAUUCCAAAGGACUUCCCCAUUCACCCAACUGAAUGAAAAUGACUUUGGAUUCCAGACUGUCUCCUCCCGGCGCAAAACAGCUGAAGUCAGAGGAGGGGGGUUAACAAAACAAGCAAAGAUGGCGAAACCCAUAUCGACAUUCCCGAGGUUGAAAACAAGCCAGUUCGUAUCCUAACACACUCAGAAAUCUUUCAAAAAAAUGGUGCAUUGUAUUUGUACAAUAUUUGUAUGGUAAAUAUUUGGCUUGAAAUUUGUCUUGUUAUUCAUGCUCCGAUUUUUUUAAUAACAAGGCCUAUCGCGUUUUAUAUAUCAAAUCAAUCAUUUAUUUAUUUUCAAUUACAAGUCUUUAUGAUUAGCGUGAGUUUUAAAUGGAUAACUUAUAUGGUUAUAUCUUCAGUGAGUUACAUAGAAGCUUAACGCGCGUUAUAAGCGUGUGAACACGAAAGACCAGUCUACUAACCAUUUAUGUAUUCAUGCUAUAUUUGCCUUCAUUUUAUAACAAGAUAGACAAUUGAAAAUGUUACGUAUAAGUGAAAAAUGUCAACAAAAUACUCAAACGGACAAAAUACUCAAAUUACAUAUAGAACAGUGCCAAUUAUUUUUUUUUCCCAAACCAACGCUUAAGUGCAGAUUAUUUAUUCAAUUAUUAUUAUAUUGUGAAAUCCCAGCGCUCGAAUAUAUAUGGACUGUCUAAUGUCCUGAUUUUAUACAGUUUGAAAUUGGACCGUGAUCCAAAAUCGUUUUGCUAAUACGCACAUUUUAGUAAAUAUUCAAAUGCCUAACGUGAUACACGUAAAAAAAAAAAAAGCUAGAGGAUUAGAAUACAUGUAUCAAACGAUUAGAAUAAUUCCAGAGAACUUCUUGAAUUGUCUAUUUAUUCUAAACGUUAAACAAAUGUUUAGUGUCAACGUACAGAAUGGAACCUCAUUUAGACAUUGUAUGUAAAAAAAAUAUUCAAAUUACAAGAACAUGUAGCGUUGUCGUUCAUACACAAUUUCUCUCUCUCUCUCUCUCUCUCUCUCUCUCUCUCUCUCUCUCUCUCACACACACACACACACACACACACACACACACACAUGCAAAGUCAACUUGCAAAAAUAUUUAUCAAUCCAUAUAUUGUAUGCUGUAACAGGCAACAGGCAUAAAUCCAUCAAACUUUCAAACUUAAGAGUCUCUUAUAAUUAUUAAUCAAUAUAUCAAUCAAUCAAAUCUAUUUAUCUAUCUAUCUAUCUAUCUAUCUAUCUAUCUAUCUAUCUAUCUAUCUAUCUAUCUAUCUAUCUAUACAUGUAUCUGUCUAGCCGUCCAACUUUUUUUUUUUUGCUCUUCUUAAGGGGUCCAAUAUUUUUUUUCUGAAUGCCAACGUGAAUGCCACUAUAAACACUUCGCAUCGAUGGCAAUCCGAACCCAAAACUUGUAAUCAAAAGCUUCACAUUUCGGUUCGGUCGAGGCUCAAACCGCGUGAUGUUUAUAACCCCCUUUCCCCUCUGACAGACUCAAAAAAAACCUUUUACAGCCCAGCACUUAAAACGCAAGCAAAGAGAAAAGAAGCCCACCAUGGCUAUACGCGUUUAGUUCAUUUACAAUGCCAUUUGCGAAGACUUCACUGCACAGGGUGUAAUUUAACGGCAAUUGUCGCCCUUGAUGAAGCCAAACUGACGUAAUCAAGGCAGUUUCUUGUUGUCGAGCCAGGAAGCUCAAUCCCAACAACAUGAAACUACCUAAACCACGCACCAGCUGCGCGUGACGACCGUAUUCACAGAAGUGGACAAAAUAACAUUUCGCAAUGCUCGGUUCAUAUACUUUGAGAAGAAGCCUGGUUUCAAUCUUUGUUUGAGGAAUCAUCUUCGACAUCCGGGUGUUUGCAAUGGAAACCACUCAUCCCUAGUAUGGCAUAACACACUUCUGUGUGUGUGUGUGUGUGUGUGUGUGUGUGUGUGUGUGUGUGUGUGUGUGUGUGUGUGUGAAUUAUGAAUGAAUGAAUAAAUAAAUAAGUCACCUGAGGGUGCAUUAUAUUUUAUUAUAAAAUUAAUAUCUAUGAAUGUAAAAUUGGAAUAAACAAAACUGUUUUUUUUUUAAUAAUUAUUUUAAUCGGUUAUUAGCGCAAGAUAGUUUAUCUAGUUGAGAUCAGGUCUACUGUUUGUCUAACUAAUGUCAUUCUUCUUGCAUAUAUUAUUGUGUAUUAUAUUUGAGUGAAAUAGUGGGAAAAUGUACUUUUGCCAGAGCUUAUAAACAUUGGACAAAUAAUUUUUGAAAGUAAAAUCUUUGUAUUUAUUUAAUGUAUCCAUAAAUAUAUCUUAGAGUAUGUUUUAUUUAAUAUGCUUAUUUGUAAUACUACGUUUAAAUACAUAUUUUACAUGAACAAAUACAUGCAUUGUAAAAUCUGUCUUUUUGCAUAUUUCAAAAUUAUUAUUUAAAAAAGUUUAAAUCAUUAAUUUUUUUUUUUGUAAUAUUAUCUUGAAUACAUAACUUUUUGCACUUGGGCUAUUUGCUACAAUAAAGCGUGUAUUGUUCAGGGUUGUUUUUAUAUUGAAUAUUUUACACGAGAAUUGUUUAAUUGUGAUAAAUGGUCUCUGUCAAGAAGUUUUCUUUACAAAAUCAGAGCGUCGGGCUGUCGCAUUGUGAAUGAAUUGUAAUUCUCAUUUCUCUCACAACAGUUUUUGAAAUUGUUUUCAGCUGUAUUUUACAAUACUCAAAUGUAAAAAAGAAUGUCUGUAAAAAAUCGGAUUAGCUUCUUUUUAGUUUAGGUAUUAGGAGUUAGGCUUCAUUAAUUGUUUUUUACAUUGCAGAAUAAUAUUUUUUAAAUAUAAUUUAUGGUUUAGUCUGUGUUUAUGUUAUAAGUUUAAUCGGUACCAGUGUGAAAUUUAUGUUUAACCUUUUUCAUAAACUUUGUGUAUUAUAAUUAAACCAAUACCAUUGUUUUGUCUAAAAUCUAAAUAAAAAAGCAAUUG
Molecule: long non-coding RNA, 6412 nt
Organism: Silurus meridionalis
Lineage: Eukaryota; Metazoa; Chordata; Actinopteri; Siluriformes; Siluridae
Exons: 3
Source: RefSeq, a predicted model, not a curated record